CGAGGAUGAACGCUGGCGGCGUGCUAACACAUGCAAGUCGAGCGAAGCACUCUGUUUGAUUUUUCGGAAUGAAACAGUUUGACUGAGCGGCGGACGGGUGAGUAACGCGUGGGGAACCUGCCUUACACAGGGGGAUAACAGUUAGAAAUGGCUGCUAAUACCGCAUAACCCGCUGGGGUCGCAUGACUCUGACGGAAAAGAUUGUAUCGGUGUAAGAUGGACCCGCGUCUGAUUAGCUGGUUGGUGAGGUAACGGCUCACCAAGGCGACGAUCAGUAGCCGACCUGAGAGGGUGAUCGGCCACAUUGGGACUGAGACACGGCCCAAACUCCUACGGGAGGCAGCAGUGGGGAAUAUUGCACAAUGGGGGAAGCCCUGAUGCAGCAACGCCGCGUGAGUGAAGAAGUAUUUCGGUAUGUAAAGCUCUAUCAGCAGGGAAGAAAUUGACAGUACCUGACUAAGAAGCCCCGGCUAACUACGUG
RNAcentral lists this ribosomal RNA (481 nucleotides) under uncultured Lachnospiraceae bacterium. Its description in RNAcentral is "bacterial SSU rRNA". It matches the Rfam family "Bacterial small subunit ribosomal RNA", at positions 26 to 507 of the family's 1533-position model. The record is from RNAcentral. Lineage: Bacteria; Bacillati; Bacillota; Clostridia; Lachnospirales; Lachnospiraceae.